GAUGAACGCUAGCGGCAGGCCUAAUACAUGCAAGUCGGACGGGAUUCAGGAGCUUGCUUCUGAUGAGAGUGGCGCACGGGUGCGUAACACGUAUGUAACCUACCUUUAUCAGGGGGAUAGCCUCUCGAAAGAGAGAUUAAGCCCGCAUAAAAUCACAGCACAGCAUUGUGUAAUGAUCAAAUAUUUAUAGGAUAAAGAUGGGCAUGCGGAACAUUAGCUAGAUGGCGGGGUAACGGCCCACCAUGGCGACGAUGUUUAGGGGAUCUGAGAGGAUGGCCCCUCACACUGGUACUGAGACACGGACCAGACACCUACGGGAGGCAGCAGUAAGGAAGAUAGGUCAAUGGGCGGAAGCCUGAACCAGCCAUGCCGCGUGCAGGAAGACGGCCCUACGGGUUGUAAACUGCUUUUAUACGGGAAUAAACCCAGAUACGUGUAUCUGGCUGAAUGUACUGUAAGAAGAAGGAUCGGCUAACUCCGUG
Molecule: ribosomal RNA, 482 nt
Filed under: uncultured bacterium
Lineage: Bacteria
Description: partial 16S ribosomal RNA
Rfam family: Bacterial small subunit ribosomal RNA
Source: RNAcentral